This 584-nucleotide ribosomal RNA is filed under the name Pseudomonas sp. HRRP001. RNAcentral's name for it is "bacterial SSU rRNA". It matches the Rfam family "Bacterial small subunit ribosomal RNA", at positions 102 to 682 of the family's 1533-position model. Lineage: Bacteria; Pseudomonadati; Pseudomonadota; Gammaproteobacteria; Pseudomonadales; Pseudomonadaceae. The record is from RNAcentral.
ACGGGUGAGUAAUGCCUAGGAAUCUGCCUGGUAGUGGGGGAUAACGUUCGGAAACGGACGCUAAUACCGCAUACGUCCUACGGGAGAAAGCAGGGGACCUUCGGGCCUUGCGCUAUCAGAUGAGCCUAGGUCGGAUUAGCUAGUUGGUGAGGUAAUGGCUCACCAAGGCGACGAUCCGUAACUGGUCUGAGAGGAUGAUCAGUCACACUGGAACUGAGACACGGUCCAGACUCCUACGGGAGGCAGCAGUGGGGAAUAUUGGACAAUGGGCGAAAGCCUGAUCCAGCCAUGCCGCGUGUGUGAAGAAGGUCUUCGGAUUGUAAAGCACUUUAAGUUGGGAGGAAGGGCAGUUACCUAAUACGUGAUUGUUUUGACGUUACCGACAGAAUAAGCACCGGCUAACUCUGUGCCAGCAGCCGCGGUAAUACAGAGGGUGCAAGCGUUAAUCGGAAUUACUGGGCGUAAAGCGCGCGUAGGUGGUUUGUUAAGUUGGAUGUGAAAUCCCCGGGCUCAACCUGGGAACUGCAUUCAAAACUGACUGACUAGAGUGUGGUAGAGGGUGGUGGAAUUUCCUGUGUAGCGGU